GGGGUUAUAGUUAAUUAUAACAUUUAAAUUGCAAUUAAAAAGUAUUGAAACCAAUUUACCUCA
RNAcentral lists this transfer RNA (63 nucleotides) under Pulchriphyllium bioculatum. Its description in RNAcentral is "tRNA-Ala". Lineage: Eukaryota; Metazoa; Arthropoda; Insecta; Phasmatodea; Phylliidae. The record is from RNAcentral.